This 74-nucleotide transfer RNA is filed under the name Staphylococcus aureus. RNAcentral describes it as "tRNA-Cys". It matches the Rfam family "tRNA". From Rfam's summary of the family: Transfer RNA (tRNA) molecules are approximately 80 nucleotides in length. The record is from RNAcentral. Lineage: Bacteria; Bacillati; Bacillota; Bacilli; Caryophanales; Staphylococcaceae.
GGCGGCAUAGCCAAGCGGUAAGGCAGAGGUCUGCAAAACCUUUAUCACCGGUUCAAAUCCGGUUGCCGCCUCCA